Molecule: long non-coding RNA, 542 nt
Organism: Mobula hypostoma (lesser devil ray)
Lineage: Eukaryota; Metazoa; Chordata; Chondrichthyes; Myliobatiformes; Myliobatidae
Exons: 3
Source: RefSeq, a predicted model, not a curated record
GCUCUCCAUCAGCCUUCGUUUGGGGUUGAAGGUGGUUACCUUCCCUCUGGUUUCAGAGGUUCUGAGCGUUCAAGCCGUCGUUCUGAACCGGGAACUUUGGCAGGAAAAUUGCAGGAGUGUCAGAGGAGACAAAAGGCCCUCCCUUGAACAGGGUCGACAUGGACGCCGUGUCCCAGCUGUCUACACGGCACGCAAGCCAUUGCGGUGCUGGAGGCUCCCCUUCUCCACGCAUUUGAUGAACUCAACGGAACAGCAGGAGUUGCCAGUCAGCGUUGAACUCCAUGUAGGACUGCCUUAGGGAUUCCAGCACCGGAUUUUUCCCUCAGGGAUUACUCCUAAGGCCUUCCCCAUGACUGUGUACAGCCGCAAGGCAGCAGAGGCUUGAGAUCAGAGUUUUCCGUCUCCUAGACUCCACAGGUUGAAUGGCUUUAACUUUUGGUGACCUCAGGAUGUUCGGCUGAAGUGAUGGACUGUGAAGUCACGACAUGAAUUAGCACAGAAAGCAGGAACUCUGUACAUGGGACCCUGCCCUUCAUUGAAGA